This 278-nucleotide unclassified non-coding RNA is filed under the name Hevea brasiliensis (rubber tree). Lineage: Eukaryota; Viridiplantae; Streptophyta; Magnoliopsida; Malpighiales; Euphorbiaceae. The record is from RNAcentral.
UUAGUCCUUUUCUUUAUCUCUUUAUAAUGCUGCAUUUUACGGGUUAUUUUAGUUAAAUGCGAUGCUGAAUUUGAAGGCUUUGGUCAUUCAGAUACACAUUGAUUAGUUCUAUUUUUUUGCUCAGGUUUCAUUCUUUCGUUUAAUUUAUUUUUAUUAUUUGUUAGAUUAUAAGAUAAGAAAAUUUGCUAUUAGCAAAUAUUGGUAUGGUAUUGCAAUGCUUCACUGAAGUUGCUUUGUUCUUGUGCAUGUUUUUUCAUUGAGGACAUGUGAAAAAAAAU